Molecule: unclassified non-coding RNA, 357 nt
Filed under: fungal sp.
Lineage: Eukaryota; Fungi
Description: partial internal transcribed spacer region
Rfam family: Eukaryotic small subunit ribosomal RNA (bases 1-46)
Source: RNAcentral
AAGUCGUAACAAGGUAACCGUAGGUGAACCUGCGGUUGGAUCAUUACUGAAAAUUAUUUUUCUUUUUUGUUUUUGGAAAAUUUCCAUUUCAAAAAAGAGAAAAUAAUACCACCCCUUUGUGAACUGUUUGACGUAUUUUGGCGGGUGCAAUUAUUGUGGGUCAACUUUGAUGGAUUGUUGAAAGAGGUUUUUAUUGGCUUCUUUUCAACAAACCUUUUUUUUUUGGCUCCGCAUCCGUCAGUGUUUUGUAACCAACCCAUUUUUUUUUGUUUUAUAAGUCACCAACAGAUUCCUUUCGAGGAUUUUGUUUUUCAUAAUUUUUGAAAACAACUUUUGACAAUGGAUCUCUUGGCUCUC